Molecule: ribosomal RNA, 626 nt
Filed under: uncultured eukaryote
Lineage: Eukaryota
Description: SSU rRNA
Rfam family: Eukaryotic small subunit ribosomal RNA
Source: RNAcentral
UGUUGCAGUUAAAAAGCUCGUAGUUGGAUUUCUGGUCGGAGCGAUCGGUCCGCCUCAUUCGGGGUGUGUACUUGUGUCGUCUCCAGCCAUCCUUGAGGAGAACUGUUCUGGCAUUGAGUUGUUGGGGCAGGGAACCUCAUCUUUUACUGUGAAAAAAUUAGAGUGUUUAAAGCAGGCUUACGCCGUUGAAUACAUUAGCAUGGAAUAAUAAGAUAGGACUUUGGCGGUCUAUUUUGUUGGUUUGCACGCCGAGGUAAUGAUUAAUAGGGAUAGUUGGGGGUAUUCGUAUUUAAUUGUCAGAGGUGAAAUUCUUGGAUUUCUGAAAGACGAACUACUGCGAAAGCAUUUACCAAGGAUGUUUUCAUUAAUCAAGAACGAAAGUUAGGGGAUCGAAGAUGAUUAGAUACCAUCGUAGUCUUAACCAUAAACUAUGCCGACUCGGGAUUGGCGGGCGUUCUCUUUAUGACUCCGUCAGCACCGUAUGAGAAAUCAAAGUCUUUGGGUUCCGGGGGGAGUAUGGUCGCAAGGCUGAAACUUAAAGGAAUUGACGGAAGGGCACCACCAGGAGUGGAGCCUGCGGCUUAAUUUGACUCUACACGGGGAAACUUACCAGGUCCAGACAUAGU